AUGAAGGUGUUUGUAGGUGGCCUGGCGUGGGAGACGAGCAAGGAGGGCGUGCGCGUCCACUUCGAGCACUUCAGCGAGAUCCUCGAGGCCGUCGUCAUCGCCGACAAGGGCACCGGCAGAUCCAAGGGCAGCAAAUUCUUAAUUGAUGCUAUGCCUAAAUGGAUGCUUGGUAAGUUAUGUUCUGGAGGCGGAGGCGGCCAUCAAGACAUGGUGAAUGGCGUCCAGAGGGCCAACUGCAACCUAGCUCGCCUACCUUGGGAUCCAGAGGUCCAAGGCACCACAACCAACUGCCUCUGCAUCCAUAUUCUGGGUGGUGUAGCAAGCAAGCAAGAAUUGGAGAGUCUUCGGUGCAUGCUUGGAGAAGAGGCUAAGAUGAGAGGCUUCAAUCUGGAGAUGACAAGGAUAGUCACCUGGUGCAACUAA
This 423-nucleotide ribosomal RNA is filed under the name Triticum aestivum (bread wheat). RNAcentral's name for it is "partial small subunit ribosomal RNA". The record is from RNAcentral. Lineage: Eukaryota; Viridiplantae; Streptophyta; Magnoliopsida; Poales; Poaceae.